Molecule: ribosomal RNA, 776 nt
Filed under: uncultured Neocallimastigales
Lineage: Eukaryota; Fungi; Neocallimastigomycota; Neocallimastigomycetes; Neocallimastigales
Description: partial large subunit ribosomal RNA
Rfam family: Eukaryotic large subunit ribosomal RNA
Source: RNAcentral
UAUCUCUGUAGAGUCUGCAUAUCAAUAAGCGGAGGAAAAGAAACUAACAAGGAUUCCCUUAGUAACGGCGAGUGAAGCGGGAAGAGCUCAAAUUUGAAAUCUUCAAGGUUUUACCUUGACGAAUUGUAGUUUAAAGAAGUGUUUUCUGUUAGAUGAGUUCGGUAAAAGUUCCUUGGAAUAGGGACAUCAUAGAGGGUGAGAAUCCCGUAUUUGACCAUUAUUUCAGCUUUGUGAUACACUUUCAAAGAGUCGGAUUGUUUGGGAAUGCAGUCCAAAAUGGGUGGUAAAUUUCAUCUAAAGCUAAAUAUUGGCGAGAGACCGAUAGCGAACAAGUACCGUGAGGGAAAGAUGAAAAGAACUUUGAAAAGAGAGUUAAACAGUACGUGAAAUUGUCAAAAGGGAAGCGUUUGACACCAGUGUUGUUUUUCCGAAAAUCAAUUACGAAUGGCUUGAUUUUGUGUUGUAUUGACCUUAUCAGCUUUCUUCACUUUUUUCGAGUCUUUCUUAAUGCACUUUUCGGUUAACAAGUCAACAUCAAUUUCUUUUGUUGUAAAAGAGUAUUCGGAAGGUGGCUUUCUUUUCGGAGAAAGUGUUUAUAGCCCUAUACUUCUACAAUCGGAGAGAUUGAGGUCUGCAGCGUAGAUCCUUCGGGGUUAGAUACACUUGUGCUAAGUUGUAGCUUUUCAUAGACAACUUGUUGACUAUGUUUAGUCAUGCGGCUUACUCGCUUAUGCUAUUUUACCUACGCUUAGGAUGUUGAAGAUGUAGCACAUCAU